GCCGGGUGCUGUGGCGUGCAUCUGUAAUCUAGCUACUUGGAGGCUGAUCUCUCGAAUGGCUUGAGUUCGGGACCACUGCAGUGCAGUCUCCUAUGUCGAACGAGCGUCCACAAGUCUCAAAAUGAGCAGUAGUGGAAUAGGAGUAGGCUGAUCUCUCGAAUGGCUUGAGUUCGGGACCACUGCAGUGCAGUCUCCUACUAAGCUCAAUGUCAACAUGGUUAUUAUGUAGGAAUGCAAGAUAUACCAGGUUCGAUAAUGAAGAACGCAUUGGCCCAGGGCGGAAACGCAGUAGGCAAAAGUUCUCACAAUGAGCAGUAGUGGGAUAUCGCUUGGGAGUGACGUUGUGCUGUAACUUAAACAAUACAGUCGAACGAAGAUCUUU
This 382-nucleotide signal recognition particle RNA is filed under the name Clytia hemisphaerica. RNAcentral describes it as "metazoan signal recognition particle RNA". It matches the Rfam family "Metazoan signal recognition particle RNA". Rfam says of the family: The signal recognition particle (SRP) is a universally conserved ribonucleoprotein. It is involved in the co-translational targeting of proteins to membranes. The record is from Rfam by way of RNAcentral. Lineage: Eukaryota; Metazoa; Cnidaria; Hydrozoa; Leptothecata; Clytiidae.